UUUUAUUCAGCCUUCAGCAAUUUCCCACAUAAUUAAUUGGGCCUUCAUGUUUAUAUUGACACUGCAUGGAUGUCUAUAUCUAUGAAGAAACUACGAGAGACUGAGGGUGGUUGGAUAAAUUCUUGCUUAAAAUAAUUCUCCAGGGCAGACAAUGAGCCCUUGUUUCUAUUAUUAUAUUCCAUUAUAAAGAACAUAUAAUUAACAUAUUAAAUCAAGUACUAAGAACUAUAACAAGC
Molecule: long non-coding RNA, 236 nt
Filed under: Nicotiana benthamiana
Lineage: Eukaryota; Viridiplantae; Streptophyta; Magnoliopsida; Solanales; Solanaceae
Description: long non-coding RNA (NBEN_LNC015840)
Source: RNAcentral